This 497-nucleotide ribosomal RNA is filed under the name uncultured bacterium. Its description in RNAcentral is "partial 16S ribosomal RNA". It matches the Rfam family "Bacterial small subunit ribosomal RNA", at positions 28 to 507 of the family's 1533-position model. The record is from RNAcentral.
GAUGAACGCUGGCGGCGUGCCUAAUACAUGCAAGUCGAGCGAACAGACGAGGAGCUUGCUCCUCUGACGUUAGCGGCGGACGGGUGAGUAACACGUGGAUAACCUACCUAUAAGACUGGGAUAACUUCGGGAAACCGGAGUUAAUACCGGAUAAUAUAUUGAACCGCAUGGUUCAAUAGUGAAAGACGGUCUUGCUGUCACUUUUAGAUGGAUCCGCGCCGCAUUAGCUAGUUGGUAAGGUAACGGCUUACCAAGGCGACGAUGCGUAGCCGACCUGAGAGGGUGAUCGGCCACACUGGAGCUGAGACACGGUCCAGACUCCUACGGGAGGCAGCAGUAGGGAAUCUUCCGCAAUAGGCGAAAGCCUGACGGAGCAACGCCGCGUGAGUGAUGAAGGUCUUCGGAUCGUAAAACUCUGUUAUUAGGGAAGAACAAAUGUGUGAGUAACUAUGCACGUCUUGACGGUACCUAAUCAGAAAGCCACGGCUAACUACGUG